GACGUAGGGGGCAAGCGUUGUCCGGAAUCAUUGGGCGUAAAGCGCUCGUAGGCGGAUCAGUAAGUCUGUGAAGAAAGACCCGGGCUCAACUCGGGGAACGGCAUGGAUACUAUUGAUCUUGAGGUAAUCAGAGGAUGGCGGAAUUCCAGGUGUAGCGGUGAAAUGCGUAGAUAUCUGGAGGAACACCUGUGGCGAAGGCGGCUAUCUGGUCCAAUUCUGACGCUGAGGCGCGAAAGGUAGGGGAGCAAACAGG
This 253-nucleotide ribosomal RNA is filed under the name uncultured prokaryote. Its description in RNAcentral is "partial 16S ribosomal RNA". It matches the Rfam family "Bacterial small subunit ribosomal RNA", at positions 524 to 776 of the family's 1533-position model. The record is from RNAcentral.